RNAcentral lists this transfer RNA (72 nucleotides) under Hydrococcus rivularis NIES-593. Its description in RNAcentral is "tRNA-Met". It matches the Rfam family "tRNA". From Rfam's summary of the family: Transfer RNA (tRNA) molecules are approximately 80 nucleotides in length. Lineage: Bacteria; Bacillati; Cyanobacteriota; Cyanophyceae; Pleurocapsales; Hydrococcaceae. The record is from RNAcentral.
GGCUCAGUAGCUCAGCGGUAGAGCAGCGGACUCAUAAGCCGUCGGUCGUUGGUUCAAAUCCGACCUGAGCCA